This 31-nucleotide non-coding RNA is filed under the name Homo sapiens (human). The record is from RNAcentral. Lineage: Eukaryota; Metazoa; Chordata; Mammalia; Primates; Hominidae.
UGAGCAGCAGAAGUGCCUGGAAAAUGUGUGU